CGACGAAUGUUAGUUUUGUAGCAAUACAGAGCUAGCGGAAGUGGCGAAAGGGGCAGUAAUGCGUGGGUAACCUACCUUGGGGAUGGGGAUAGCCGUUCUAACGAACGGGUAAUACCCAGCGAUUCGGCGAAGGGGCAUCCCUUUGCCGGGAAAUGAGUUUCGCCUCGAGAGGGGCCCACGUGCUAUUAGCUAGUUGGUGGGGUAACGGCCUACCAAGGCUAAGAUGGCUAGCGGGUGUGAGAGCACGACCCGCGCCACUGGCACUGAGACACUGGCCAGACACCUACGGGUGGCUGCAGUCGAGGAUCUUCGUCAAUGGGCGCAAGCCUGAACGAGCGACGCCGCGUGCGCGAUGAAGGCCUUCGGGUUGUAAAGCGCGAAAGUGGAGAGAAAAGCGAAAGCUUGAUCAAUCCACAGUAAGGACGGGCUAAGUUCGUGCCAGCAGCCGCGGUAAGACGAACUGUCCAAACGUUGUUCGGAAUCACUGGGCUUAAAGGGCGCGUAGGCGGUCGGAUAAGUCGGGGGUGAAAUCCUGCAGCUCAACUGUAGAGGUGCCUUCGAUACUGUCCGUCUGGAGGGAGAUAGGGGUGUGCGGAACUUCCAGUGGAGCGGUGAAAUGCGUUGAUAUUGGAAGGAACGCCGGAGGCGAAAGCGGCGCACUGGAUCUCUUCUGACGCUGAGGCGCGAAAGCUAGGGGAGCAAACGGGAUUAGAUACCCCGGUAGUCC
Molecule: ribosomal RNA, 727 nt
Filed under: uncultured bacterium
Lineage: Bacteria
Description: bacterial SSU rRNA
Rfam family: Bacterial small subunit ribosomal RNA
Source: RNAcentral